CUGUCUCUCUCUCCCCUCUCUCAUUCCCUCUUCACACUUAGGAAAGGCGAUAUGAGCACAUAGCUAGAAGUUGGCCAGGAAGAGAGAUCUCACCAGAAGCUAACCAUGCUGGCAUCCUGAUCUCAGAUUUUCAGCCUUCAGAACUGUGCAUGUGGAUGUAACCAGACUCCAAAGGAUUGUAUAACAACAUAGCCUACCUCAUUGACUCAGUACCUGCAAGGAAGCUACCCACCAACCUUCAUAUCCACACCAUACUCCCUCUCACAGUGACUAAUGCAUGACUUUGCACAUGAAGUUACUUGCACUUAGGUGCGAAUUAUUUUAAGGAUUGGCUCAUGCCGUUAUGGUGGCUGGGAAGUUCUAAAUCUGCUAUACAGAUCAGCUAGGUAA
Herpailurus yagouaroundi (jaguarundi) is the source of this 390-nucleotide long non-coding RNA. RefSeq lists it as uncharacterized. Lineage: Eukaryota; Metazoa; Chordata; Mammalia; Carnivora; Felidae. The record is from RefSeq and is a predicted model, not a curated record. The transcript has 4 exons.